UGAAUACAACUUUUUGGCCACAUAGAAGAAUUGGCCACGUAUAAAAAAUUCAUUUUUAUUUGUUACAUGCUCCUACAUCCUACCAAAUUCUUCUUCUACUAUUUGUGAUACGACAUCAAUUUACCAUAAUUUUUUUGGAAUCAACAAAUUGACAGCAGUGUUCUCAUACCUGUUUUUGCGAAUUUUGUGAGUAGACACAUAGGACUACGAGCUCACUUACUUAAAAUCGGUGCGGCAAGUGAUAGCAUGUGUAGGGCAUGCGGGGAAGAUGAUGAGACGUUGGAGCAUUUCCUUUGUAAUUGCCCGGCUUUCGCGUCCAACAGAUACCGGUACUUAGGUGGAGACACAAUAUCAGACAUGAACCAACUUAGGGGAGUGGUAUUGAAAUCAAUUAAGGAUUUUAGCGCACAACAAGCCGAUUACUAGCUUAGGUGUAUGUCCAUAGUGGCAUGGGGCGGAUUAAUAUCUGCGCCCUCUUUUCAGUCUAACCUAACCUAUUCUUUCUGUUCUUCAAUUUCGACAAUGCAGGAGUAUUCCACGGAGGACCAACUUUCGUAAGUAGCAUUUCAUCUAAAGAAUUCAUUGAAUGCAGAGUAUUCCAAUCCAUUGAACUCAGAAGUGAAUUCAAUUUAAUGUAAUCUCUCUUUGAGAAGCAAUAUACACACUUAUUUUGAUAUGGUUUCCUACGGCAUAUAGAAAGGAACGAUGGAUGUGAAGGUCUAAAACUGGGUGAUAUUUAUCCCCUGGACGGAUAAUGGGGUCAAAAGGAAAAAGCAAUAUAUCGCGGGGAUGACUUUCGAAUAUGAGAUCAAGGAGUUUUCCACAUGAGUUAUAUACCUUAUUUAUUUACCACAGAUGCAUUUUGUAGUACUCUCAUUCAUUCCAUUGGGUAACAAAUCGUUAAUAUUAAGAUUCUCAAUCCAUCUCCAGAUAGAUUAAUAUAAAUGAAAUAUGUUUCAAGUACGUUUCAACACUUGAACCCGGAGUAAUGUAUGAACAGGUAAUAGAUAUGGAUGCAUAUCUAAGACGGAUCUUAACAGUGACAAUUUCAGUAUCAACCGGUAUGGGAAAGAAAAUUUCUUCAUUAGGUAAUUCAGAAGAAACAGCUAGCAAGACACCACCGCCUCUUCUUUUGGAACUAUCUACACGAUCACGUCUAAAUAUCUGAAACUUUUGUAUAUGUUAUAACAUUGUAACUAAAAUCGUAACUCUCAAUAUAUAAGGCUGAUAAUUUAGUGCUUAAAUCUCUAA
This is a long non-coding RNA of Stomoxys calcitrans (stable fly), 1251 nucleotides long. RefSeq lists it as uncharacterized. The transcript has 4 exons. NCBI's taxonomy places the organism in Eukaryota, Metazoa, Arthropoda, Insecta, Diptera, Muscidae. The record is from RefSeq and is a predicted model, not a curated record.